UGAAGUAAAAAGUCGUAACAAGGUCUCCGUUGGUGAACCAGCGGAGGGAUCAUUACCGAGUUUAC
Molecule: ribosomal RNA, 65 nt
Filed under: Fusarium oxysporum
Lineage: Eukaryota; Fungi; Ascomycota; Sordariomycetes; Hypocreales; Nectriaceae
Description: partial 18S ribosomal RNA
Rfam family: Eukaryotic small subunit ribosomal RNA (bases 1-55)
Source: RNAcentral